GCUUUCAAAUACUCAAGUGUCAGAGGGCGCCAGGGAGAGCAAGCGGAGCGAUGGAGAGAAGUAGGUCAAACAGCGAUUUGCAGAGCAUUAUCGAUGCCAUUUCGUCGUCCGAUGUCGUCGAGAGUCGUAUUCAGCUGCUCAAGAAACUGGAGGAUUUGGAUUUAUCUUGUAAAUCAGAGUUGAUUUCAUUAGUCGAAAGCCUUACAAUGUUUUGGGAGGAUUUUACCUGUUUGGAUGUGACGCAAUGCUUGUUGAACAGAACGAUACUACUAGUGGCUGUAAAACGUAUAGAGAAGGACAAAGCCGAUUGUCUAGGACAGUUUCUCACACUCGAAGUUAAGGCAAGUGUCUGGUGUAGAAAGCAUCUAAAGAUGACGCUCAUGUCAAUCCAGGAGUCACAGGAAGAAGAGCAUUCCAACCUGUUUUUUCAGCUUCUUUUGGAUGCAGUGAAAUUUUCUGCUGCCAUUUUUUCAGCUUUGGCAAGAUAUCCUCUUUCGGAAGAUAAGGCGUUGAUGAAUAUGGUUGAGAAUUUCAUAUUGGAACAGCUGAAUUUAAUGAAUGAAUUGGUUUCCGAAAUUCAGAGGAUUCGUGAAUUUGGCCCAGAUAUAUUGAAAGCUGUGCAGAUGGUCAUUGAUGCGAUGAUAAAAUUUUGUGAAGUUCACUCUCAAGCCCUAUAUCGAGGGUUCUCUGGUGAAGACUUUGAUUUAACCAGCAGUGCUGUUAACCAUGUCAUCAACGUGCAUAAGUAUAUAAUUGAGAAAUUAUGCGAACUGGGCACCAUUGCUGCCAAAGGUGGUGGAGGAUUGGUGACAAUUCUCAACGUGUCAUGGAAAGGAGUGUUUACCUUGCUUCAACUUGGGAAUGGGGUGUUAGCAUCAAAGGUGAACAUAGCAGGCAUUAUUCUAAAUCUAGUUUCACUUGUUAUGGAGCCUCUGAAAUGUGCAUCAGCCACUUGGUCUUCUGUAACAAAUGAAGCUGUCUCUGCAAGUGAAGCCAGACGGAUAUUUCUUCCAGUUAAAUUUUUCUUGAUUAAUGCUGUGAAAAUAUCAUGCCUCUAUCCUUGCCAGGCGUAUCUAGUACAUAAGGAGAUUAUUCUUUGUGUUCUUACGAUCUCGACAUAUAAAGUUUCGCUAAGCAAUGAAAAGUUACUGGGAACUGUAGCUGAAGCAAUCACUGAACUUUUGGAGACAACGUGCUUGGAUUUGGUCAAGUGUAUUCUAAAUACCACCGAUCUAAAACAAGACCUGAAACUUGGGAUUAUGGAUUUGUUAUUCACGAGUGAAAGGUGUUCUCAUCCAGAUGGAGAUCCCAGCAAUUGUUUUAGGAUUGAUCCAAUGAAUGAAAUUUUUAACACUAAUUGUGAAGACAUGAAGGAUGCCAAAACCUUAUUGCUUGGUCGCAUUAAUUUUCUACUUAAUCUGUUGAGGCAUUCUUUCGAUCUCAGUGAUGAUACAAAACUACUGAUCACGACAAAACUCGAUGGGCUCUUGGACAUUUUAGUUCAAGAAGAUGUAUAUGCAUCAGUUCUUCUCCUGCAAGUUCCUUUCUUGUAUUUCUCUGGAAAAACUACAGAGCUAAAAUGGCAGCCUCUGUUCUCUUCUCUGGUGCAUGCAUUGAAGACUUUCAUGGUUGCAGUCUCCUCAAGCUGUGCUUGGCUGGAACUGCAAUCCUUCUUACUUGACAAUCUCUGGCAUCCUCAUUUUCUUUGUUGGGACAUUGUUAUGGAACUGUGGUGCUUUAUGCUGCGCUAUGCAGAUGAUGGGCUGGUGAAUGGUGUCAUCUCUAAUUUUUUUUCAGUAAUGAAGUUUUUGGCAUCAUCAGAACUAGUUCUUGUUCACAGUUCUGCAUUGAGAAAAAUGGCUAGGUGUAUAACGAUGCUACUUACAUAUGGUGCACAUUCUAAACUAAAUGAGAUUUGUGAGUCUAUUUUUAUUCAGGACAAAUCUCGGUCAUCGACAGUGAUAUGGGCUGCCUUGAUCUUGGAAGGCUUUCCCCUAAACUUACUCUCUGGGAAGAUUAAAAAUAUUGCUAUUCAGAGUAUGAUUCACGAUUACUUGAAUUUCAUUGGAAGUUUUGACGAGACUUCAAUGUUAGCUCUCUCUUCUAGGGUAAUUGGGCUGCCAGUAUUUUCUGCAUCUACUACAAUCCAAUCCAUCAAGUUAAGCACCUCUGAUAUUGAUGUGAGAACGUUGAAGUUCUUACUUGCUCUUAUCCGUAGCUACAAGCUUUCUGGAGUAGAAAAAGUGAAGGGAUUCUGCAGAAAACUAAUAUCUGAAACAUUGGGGAUCAUCUCGUGUAUGAAACAUCUUUACGCAUGUAAUGAGAUGGAGGAGGUCAUCUUGGAACUGGAAAAGCUUUUUAUCUCAGGACCCACGGCCUCAGAUGCUCUGUUAUAUGAAUGUAAAUCAGGUUUGGUUCCUUUCUUGGCAGGACUUGCACACAUUAAAAUGACAGAAACCGAAGAUAAUGCAAAAAGCUGUGCUGUGUGGGAGUUGUAUCACAUGUUAUUUAAAGAGCGGCAUUGGGCAUUUAUACAUUUGGGGCUAACAGCUUUUGGAUAUUAUGCCGCACGUACUUCUUGUGAUGAGCUGUGGAGGUUUGUGCCACAGAAUGCAGCUCUUUCGUACGAUUUAGAAUCAGGAAAACAUGUAAAUGAAGAAGGGUUUAUGUUAGAGUUCAAAAUAUUUCUUGAGAAGGAAAUGGCUCUCCUCACAGUAACACCGAGCGCAGAGCAGCUAUUACUGCUUAUGAAAGAAGGGCUACUGUUAAAAGAUAAGUUCAAUACGUUACUAAAAUCAAGUGGAAAGGGUAUCGAAUGUAAGAGCAUGGAGAUUGAUGAAGGACCAUCUAGCAGGAAAAGAAAGCUUCCUGAGGGGAUCAGCAAGGGAAUGGAAUUGCUAAAGAAUGGAUUAAAGUUUAUGCGCCAGGGUCUCUCACUGUUGGAGGCAAAUCAUGUCGAUUCCAGAGAACUUCAUAACAAGCUUUUGAGUCACUUUUCUGGCCUUGAAGAUGAAAUAGAUCGUCUAGACAGCCAGGGUGGGGUUUAUUAAGUCAACUUCAAUUCCAAAGAAUGAAUCGAAUGCCAGUUUCCAUUGUGUUCAUCAGUCUUAACAUAAUGAACCAUAUUGAUUCGAGACUCGGUGGUGACGCCGAGAAGUACACUGCCUUAUAGCCUUCUUCGGUGCCAAGGUCUCAGAAAGGUUUUUUGCUACUCGUCUCGGUAAUCAUCUCUCCAAAAGUUGCUAGGUUCGUUCACGAUUGAUGUUGGUUACAAAUCAUUUCUCUUUUAAGAUCACACGAACUUUCUAUGAGAAUUAUUUCUGCAUCGAAACCAUUGAUGGCAUUUCACUGUAUGGGCCAUUUCAGGCCCUAUAAUUAGUAGAGCACUUGUCGACUGUAGCAAAGCUUGAGAGAAAGUAGAAACGAAUUAUAGGAUUUCUUGCACGUGUUGCAUUUCUGUGCAGAAAUUGAGGCGUCAAUCCAGUAUUAAUGGUAAGGCGACUGUGACGGACACCAUUUUGUUUUCUGAGCUUUCAAACCUGAAAAUGUCAUCGGAGAUCUCGAAGAUUUUCAGGAGGUGGUUUCAGUGGACCCAAUCAGUUCAGAUCAACUGUAUGGCAUAGAAUACGAAGUCCGUGUGAUCAAUGGCUUCACAAACAACUCCUCACUGCCUCUGGUGAUAUGGUGCGCAUCCAAAGACAGUGAUAUCGGCGGGCGUGCGCUACAGGAGCACGAUGAUUUCAGUUGGCUCGUCAAGACCAACUUCUGGAUUACUACUACCUCACAAUUCUCAUGCACUGUCAAAUUGGACCGCACAAGGAAGAGUUUCGAUGCAUUUAAGGUACCAAGAGAUAUCUACCGCUGUAGUGCUUUCAGAAAAUGCUCUUGGUUGGUUAUGGAAGAUGGAUUUUAUUUCAGUGACGACGAAGUAAACUGGAAGAAGGAGUUCUCGUGGUAAAUCCAUUCCUCACCAGACCAGCUAAGUUCACUCAACUCUGUUCUACUUCUC
Cucurbita maxima (winter squash) is the source of this 4009-nucleotide RNA transcript. RefSeq lists it as uncharacterized. The transcript is spliced from 10 exons. The record is from RefSeq and is a predicted model, not a curated record. Lineage: Eukaryota; Viridiplantae; Streptophyta; Magnoliopsida; Cucurbitales; Cucurbitaceae.